UAAAGAUUCAUCGCUGAUAGAUAGGCAUGCGUUCCAUUAGGCAGUUGGCGGGGUAACGGCCCACCAAACCGACGAUGGAUAGGGGUUCUGAGAGGAAGGUCCCCCACAUUGGUACUGAGACACGGACCAAACUCCUACGGGAGGCAGCAGUGAGGAAUAUUGGUCAAUGGGCGUAAGCCUGAACCAGCCAAGUCGCGUGAGGGAUGGAGGUUCUAUGGAUCGUAAACCUCUUUUAUAAGGGAAUAAAGUGCGGGACGUGUCCCGUUUUGUAUGUACCUUAUGAAUAAGGAUCGGCUAACUCCGUGCCAGCAGCCGCGGUAAUACGGAGGAUCCGAGCGUUAUCCGGAUUUAUUGGGUUUAAAGGGUGCGUAGGCGGCCUUUUAAGUCAGCGGUGAAAGUCUGUGGCUCAACCAUAGAAUUGCCGUUGAAACUGGGAGGCUUGAGUAUGUUUGAGGCAGGCGGAAUGCGUGGUGUAGCGGUGAAAUGCUUAGAUAUCACGCAGAACCCCGAUUGCGAAGGCAGCCUGCCAAGCCAUGACUGACGCUGAUGCACGAAAGCGUGGGGAUCAAACAGGAUUAGAUACCCUGGUAGUCCACGCAGUAAACGAUGAUCACUAGCUGUUUGCGAUACAC
Molecule: ribosomal RNA, 632 nt
Filed under: uncultured bacterium
Lineage: Bacteria
Description: bacterial SSU rRNA
Rfam family: Bacterial small subunit ribosomal RNA
Source: RNAcentral